UAUGUGAUCGUCUCUCGCAUAUCAAUAAGCGGAGGAAAAGAAACUAACAAGGAUUCCCCUAGUAACGGCGAGUGAAGCGGGAAGAGCUCAAAUUUGAAAUCUUAAAGGGUUUCCCUUUACGAAUUGUAGUUUAAAGAAGUGUUUUCUGUUGAGGUUUUGGUAAAAGUUCUUUGGAAUAGGACAUCAUAGAGGGUGAGAAUCCCGUAUUUGACCUUUACUUUCAACUUUGUGAUACACUUUCAAAGAGUCGGAUUGUUUGGGAAUGCAGUCCAAAAUGGGUGGUAAAUUUCAUCUAAAGCUAAAUAUUGGCGAGAGACCGAUAGCGAACAAGUACCGUGAGGGAAAGAUGAAAAGAACUUUGAAAAGAGAGUUAAACAGUACGUGAAAUUGUCAAAAGGGAAGCGUUUGACACCAGUGUUGUUUUUCUGAAAAUCAAUUAAAGAACUGUUUAUGCUAAGCUUGUUUAGACUUUAUCAGCUAUCUGCUUAGUUUUGAGCUUUUCUUUAAUGCACUUUUCAGUUAACAAGUCAACAUCAAUUUCUUUUGCUGUAAAAAAGCUUGAGGAAGGUGGCUUGAGAUUCGUCUUAAGUGUCUAUAGCCUCUUGCCUAUGCAGUCGGAGAGAUUGAGGUCUGCAGCGUAGAUCCUUCGGGGCUAAAUGCAUUUGUGCUAAGUUAUAGCAUUUUAUAGACAACUUGUUGACUAUGAUUUGUCUUGUAGCUUACUCGCUUAUGUUAUUUUACCUACGCUUAGGAUGUUGACGCGCGUGUGUGCGUG
Molecule: ribosomal RNA, 775 nt
Filed under: uncultured Neocallimastigales
Lineage: Eukaryota; Fungi; Neocallimastigomycota; Neocallimastigomycetes; Neocallimastigales
Description: partial large subunit ribosomal RNA
Rfam family: Eukaryotic large subunit ribosomal RNA
Source: RNAcentral